GCCGUAGCGAAAGCGAGUUUUAACUGAGCGUUCAGUUACUUGACGUAGACCCGAAACCGGGCGACCUACCCAUGAGCAGGAUGAAGCGAAAGUAAAAUUUCGUGGAGGUCCGAACCCACGAGCGUUGAAAAGCUCGGGGAUGACUUGUGGGUAGCGGUGAAAUUCCAAUCGAGCCCGGAGAUAGCUGGUUCUCCCCGAAAUAGCUUUAGGGCUAGCCUCAAGGUGAGAGAUACGGAGGUAGAGCACUGAAUGUCCUAGGGGGUAUUGCACCUACCGAAGACUAUCAAACUCCGAAUGCCGUCAUCUUAUACUUGGGAGUCAGACUGUGGGUGAUAAGAUUCAUAGUCGAAAGGGCAACAGCCCAGAUCGUCAGCUAAGGUCCCUAAAUGUAAGUUAAGUGGUAAAGGAUGUGGGAUUGCACAGACAACCAGGAUGUUGGCUUAGAAGCAGCCACUCAUUCAAAGAGUGCGUAAUAGCUCACUGGUCGAGUGAUCCUGCGCCGAAGAUUUCCGGGGCUAAAACUUACUACCGAAGCUACGGCAUCAGUAAUGAUGGGUAGGGGAGCUUCCCAUACGGGUUGAAGCAUGACCGUAAGGACAUGUGGACAGUAUGGGAGUGAGAAUGUUGGCAUGAGUAGCGAGAUGUGGGUGAGAAUCCCACAGGCCGUAAACCCAAGGUUUCCAGGGGAAGGUUCGUCCGCCCUGGGUUAGUCGGGACCUAAGCUGAGGCCGAAAGGCGUAGGUGAUGGACAACAGGUUGAUAUUCCUGUACUACCGAU
RNAcentral lists this ribosomal RNA (778 nucleotides) under Clostridioides difficile. RNAcentral describes it as "bacterial LSU rRNA". It matches the Rfam family "Bacterial large subunit ribosomal RNA", at positions 665 to 1451 of the family's 2925-position model. The record is from RNAcentral. Lineage: Bacteria; Bacillati; Bacillota; Clostridia; Peptostreptococcales; Peptostreptococcaceae.